RNAcentral lists this ribosomal RNA (425 nucleotides) under uncultured bacterium. Its description in RNAcentral is "partial 16S ribosomal RNA". It matches the Rfam family "Bacterial small subunit ribosomal RNA", at positions 354 to 796 of the family's 1533-position model. The record is from RNAcentral.
GUGGGGAAUCUUGCGCAAUGGGCGAAAGCCUGACGCAGCCAUGCCGCGUGAAUGAUGAAGGUCUUAGGAUUGUAAAAUUCUUUCACCGGGGACGAUAAUGACGGUACCCGGAGAAGAAGCUCCGGCUAACUUCGUGCCAGCAGCCGCGGUAAUACGAAGGGGGCUAGCGUUGCUCGGAAUUACUGGGCGUAAAGGGCGCGUAGGCGGACAGCUUAGUCAGAGGUGAAAGCCCAGGGCUCAACCUUGGAAUUGCCUUUGAUACUGGCUGUCUUGAGUUUGGGAGAGGUGAGUGGAACUCCGAGUGUAGAGGUGAAAUUAGUAGAUAUUCGGAAGAACACCAGUGGCGAAGGCGACUCACUGGCCCAAUACUGACGCUGAGGCGCGAAAGCGUGGGGAGCAAACAGGAUUAGAUACCCUUGUAGUCC